GAUNNGGCUGUCGUCAGCUCGUGUCGUGAGAUGUUGGGUUAAGUCCGCAACGANNAACCCCNAGCUUUUAGUUGCUACCAUUUAGUUGGGCACUCUAAAAGAACUGCCAGUGAUAAGCUGGAGGAAGGCGGGGAUGACGUCAAGUCCUCAUGGCCCUUACGUGUUGGGCUACACGCGUGCUACAAUGGUACUCACAGUGAGAAGCGAAGAGGCGACUCUAAGCCAAUCCCNNAAAAAGUACCUCAGUUCGGAUUGUACUCUGCAACUCGAGUACAUGAAGCUGGAAUUACUAGUAAUCGCGGAUCAGCGCCGC
This 313-nucleotide ribosomal RNA is filed under the name uncultured Alphaproteobacteria bacterium. RNAcentral describes it as "partial 16S ribosomal RNA". It matches the Rfam family "Bacterial small subunit ribosomal RNA", at positions 1042 to 1360 of the family's 1533-position model. The record is from RNAcentral. Lineage: Bacteria; Pseudomonadati; Pseudomonadota; Alphaproteobacteria.